Phoenix dactylifera (date palm) is the source of this 107-nucleotide small nucleolar RNA. Lineage: Eukaryota; Viridiplantae; Streptophyta; Magnoliopsida; Arecales; Arecaceae. The record is from RefSeq and is a predicted model, not a curated record.
AGCCCAUGGUGUGGGCAUUUGACCAACAAGUCAUGGAAUCGUUCCCAAGUUUGAAAGAAUUCUUCUUCAGAUUUUUCUCUAAAAGUUCUGAUGGCAUCCUUAAUUUU